This 1457-nucleotide ribosomal RNA is filed under the name Bifidobacterium longum. RNAcentral describes it as "partial 23S ribosomal RNA". It matches the Rfam family "Bacterial large subunit ribosomal RNA", at positions 379 to 2012 of the family's 2925-position model. The record is from RNAcentral. Lineage: Bacteria; Bacillati; Actinomycetota; Actinomycetes; Bifidobacteriales; Bifidobacteriaceae.
ACGAAAUGCUGACAACACCUAGGAGGAUCCUGAGUACGGCGGAACACGAGAAAUUCCGUCGGAAUCCGCGGGGACCAUCCCGCAAGGCUAAAUACUCCCUAGUGACCGAUAGUGAACCAGUACCGUGAGGGAAAGGUGAAAAGCACCCCGGAAGGGGAGUGAAAUAGAUCCUGAAACCGUGUGCCUACAACAAGUCAAAGCUCGUUAAUGAGUGAUGGCGUGCCUUUUGUAGAAUGAACCGGCGAGUUACGAUUGCAUGCGAGGUUAAGUCGAAGAGACGGAGCCGCAGCGAAAGCGAGUCUGAAUAGGGCGAAUGAGUAUGUAGUCGUAGACCCGAAACCAUGUGAUCUACCCAUGUCCAGGUUGAAGGUGCGGUAAAACGCACUGGAGGACCGAACCCACGUACGUUGAAAAGUGCGGGGAUGAGGUGUGGGUAGCGGAGAAAUUCCAAACGAACUUUCCGUAGUCGAAAGGGAAACAGCCCAGACCACCAGCUAAGGUCCCAAAAUAUAUGUUAAGUGGAAAAGGAUGUGGGGUUGCACAGACAACUAGGAUGUUGGCUUAGAAGCAGCCACCAUUUAAAGAGUGCGUAAUAGCUCACUAGUCGAGUGACCCUGCGCCGAAAAUGUACCGGGGCUAAACAUAUUACCGAAGCUGUGGACUACACCAUUAGGUGUAGUGGUAGGAGAGCGUUCUAAGGGCGUUGAAGGUCGAUCGUGAGGACGGCUGGAGCGCUUAGAAGUGAGAAUGCCGGUAUGAGUAGCGAAAGACAGGUGAGAAUCCUGUCCACCGUAUGACUAAGGUUUCCUGGGGAAGGCUCGUCCGCCCAGGGUUAGUCGGGACCUAAGCCGAGGCCGAUAGGCGUAGGCGAUGGACAACAGGUUGAUAUUCCUGUACCAGUUGUUUUUGUUUGAGCAAUGGAGGGACGCAGUAGGCUAAGGAAUGCAUGCGAUUGGAAGUGCAUGUCCAAGCAAUGAGUCUUGAGUAGAGUUAAAUGCUUUACUCUCUAAGGACAAGUUGUGACGGGGAGCGAAAUAAUAGUAGCGAAGUUCCUGAUGUCACACUGCCAAGAAAAGCUUCUAGUGAGAAAACAACUGCCCGUACCGUAAACCGACACAGGUAGUCGAGGAGAGUAUCCUAAGGUGAGCGAGCGAACUCUCGUUAAGGAACUCGGCAAAAUGACCCCGUAACUUCGGGAGAAGGGGUGCUGACUUCGGUCAGCCGCAGUGAAUAGGCCCAAGCGACUGUUUAUCAAAAACACAGGUCUCUGCAAAAUCGUAAGAUGAAGUAUAGGGGCUGACGCCUGCCCGGUGCUGGAAGGUUAAGAGGAUGGGUUAGCUUCGGCGAAGCUCAGAAUUGAAGCCCCAGUAAACGGCGGCCGUAACUAUAACGGUCCUAAGGUAGCGAAAUUCCUUGUCGGGUAAGUUCCGACCCGCACGAAAGGCGUAACGAUUUGG